GGCUACUCCGUGCAGCAGCCGCGGUAAUACGAGGUGCAAGCGUACCGGAAUAUGGCGUAAAGCGUCCGCAGUGUUAUUAAGUCGAAUGUUAAAUCUGGAGCCCAACUCUGAGGCGUAUCGAAACUGGUAAACUAGAGUUUUCAGAGGCAAGUGGAUUCUGUGUGUAGGGGUAAAAUCCGUAGAUAUACAGAGGAAUACCAAAAGCGAAGGCAGCUUGCUGGGAAAAUACUGACACUCAUGGACGAAAGCGUGGGUAGCGAACGGGAUUAGAUACCCCGGUAGUCCACGCCGUAAACGAUGGAUACUAGGUGUUGGGAGGCUCGGUCCUCUCAGUGCCGUAGCUAACGCAUUAAGUAUCCCGCCUGGGGAGUACGAUCGCAAGAUUAAAACUCAAAGGAAUAGACGGGGACCCACACAAGCGGUGGAGCAUCUGGCUUAAUUCGAUAAUGAGCGAGGAACCUUACCUAGACUUGACAUCCUGGGAAUUCUUUAGAAAUAAAGAAGUGCCUUCUGGAACCCAGUGACAGGUGCUGCAUGGUUGUCGUCAGCUCGUGCCUUGAGGUGUACGGUUAAGUCCGCUAACGAGCGCAACCCAUGUCUUAUGUUGUAUUUCUCAUAAGAGACUGCCGAUUCAAAGUCGGAGGAAGGUAUGGAUGACGUCAAAUCAGCAUGGCCCUUAUGUCUAGGGCUGCACAGGUGCUACAAUGGGUGGUACAAUGGGUAGCAAUGCCGUAAGGUGGAGCCAAUCCUGAAAACCACUCUAAGUUCGAAUUGAGGGCUGCAAUUUGCCCUCAUGAAGUUGGAAUCGCUAGUAACCGCGUAUCAGCAAUGUCGCGGUGAAUAUGUUCCUGGGUCUUGUACUCACCGCCCGUCACACUAUGAAAGGAGGAAGCGCCCGAAGUACCUUUAUCCGUUUACGGAGGGGUCCUAAGGCGAAACCUCUGAUUGGAGUGAAGUCGUAACAAGGUAGCCAAGGGCGAAUCGCGCCGCUAAUGCAUGC
This 1000-nucleotide ribosomal RNA is filed under the name uncultured bacterium. RNAcentral describes it as "bacterial SSU rRNA". It matches the Rfam family "Bacterial small subunit ribosomal RNA", at positions 495 to 1533 of the family's 1533-position model. The record is from RNAcentral.